Molecule: ribosomal RNA, 430 nt
Filed under: uncultured bacterium
Lineage: Bacteria
Description: bacterial SSU rRNA
Rfam family: Bacterial small subunit ribosomal RNA
Source: RNAcentral
UGGGGAAUCUUGCGCAAUGGGCGAAAGCCUGACGCAGCGACGCCGCGUGCGGGAGGAAGCUCUUCGGGGUGUAAACCGCUGUCAGGAGGGAAGAAAUGUCACUCGAGGAAAUGCGGGUGAUUUGACGGUACCUCCAAAGGAAGCACCGGCUAACUCUGUGCCAGCAGCCGCGGUAAUACAGAGGGUGCGAGCGUUGUUCGGAAUUACUGGGCGUAAAGCGCGCGUAGGUGGUCUUUUAAGUCCGACUGUGAAAUCCCGGGGCUCAACCCCGCGGGCUGCAGGGGAUACUGGGAGACUGGAGACACGUAGAGGCAAGCGGAAUUCCGGGUGUAGCGGUGGAAUGCGUAGAGAUCCGGAAGAACACCGGAGGCGAAGGCGGCUUGCUGGGCGUGAUCUGACGCUGAGGCGCGAAAGCGUGGGGAGCGAACAG